RNAcentral lists this ribosomal RNA (615 nucleotides) under Pseudomonas sp. HAV-1. RNAcentral describes it as "bacterial SSU rRNA". It matches the Rfam family "Bacterial small subunit ribosomal RNA", at positions 36 to 647 of the family's 1533-position model. The record is from RNAcentral. Lineage: Bacteria; Pseudomonadati; Pseudomonadota; Gammaproteobacteria; Pseudomonadales; Pseudomonadaceae.
CUUGGGGGGGCAACAAAGGCAUGCUAGUCAUAGAGGUAGAGAGAGCUUGCUCUCUUGAGAGCGGCGGACGGGUGAGUAAUGCCUAGGAAUCUGCCUAGUGGUGGGGGAUAACGUUCGGAAACGGACGCUAAUACCGCAUACGUCCUACGGGAGAAAGCGGGGGAUCUUCGGACCUCGCGCCAUUAGAUGAGCCUAGGUCGGAUUAGCUAGUUGGUGAGGUAAUGGCUCACCAAGGCGACGAUCCGUAACUGGUCUGAGAGGAUGAUCAGUCACACUGGAACUGAGACACGGUCCAGACUCCUACGGGAGGCAGCAGUGGGGAAUAUUGGACAAUGGGCGAAAGCCUGAUCCAGCCAUGCCGCGUGUGUGAAGAAGGUCUUCGGAUUGUAAAGCACUUUAAGUUGGGAGGAAGGGUAGUAACCUAAUACGUUGCUACUUUGACGUUACCGACAGAAUAAGCACCGGCUAACUUCGUGCCAGCAGCCGCGGUAAUACGAAGGGUGCAAGCGUUAAUCGGAAUUACUGGGCGUAAAGCGCGCGUAGGUGGUUCAGUAAGUUGGAAAGUGAAAUCCCCGGGCUCAACCUGGGAACUGCUUCAAACUGCUGAGCUAAGUA